Molecule: long non-coding RNA, 2303 nt
Filed under: Ficedula albicollis (Collared flycatcher)
Lineage: Eukaryota; Metazoa; Chordata; Aves; Passeriformes; Muscicapidae
Description: lncRNA (ENSFALG00000024713.1)
Source: RNAcentral
AUGUGGUGCAGCGAGGUUUUGUCCUUUCCAGUAUUUUUCCUGACCCUGCUGGUGUCAGUUCCACCUCAGAGCCUCUCUCCCUCUCCCCUUCUCUGUUCCCCUUCAGGAACCAGGACAUUCUGGGAAACUCCUCAGUGUGAUUUGCACCACACUUGUGUCACAGCUGGCUUGGACCCUUUGGAACUGGAAAUGAGGCUUGUUUCAGGCAGUGGCUCUAAAAAUCAUUCUGAGAGUCAGACAGUCCCAGGCAGAACUAACCCCUUGUGAACCCAGUGAAACAGAGAAGCACAGAAACUCCCAAGCAUGUGAGCAUUUACAGGAUCCUCUUUGACUGCACUUCCCCAAAUGUUGUUUUGCAAGGAAAUUGGAAUCAAUCUGCCAUGAUCUAAUCCCAGGAAAGUGAAAGGACAUGGAUUAUAAACAGGGAGUCAAUCACUGCAGAUGAUCACUGUGAUUCUGACGUUGGACAGAGACACAGAACAUUUGGCAAACUUCUUUUGGAUCCUUUCCUUUUCAUUCUGGAGCUGCUAUGGAACAGAGAAACCUUCCCAGACAAACAAAUCCCUUCCAUGGCCAGGGAGAUCCCAACACCCAGAGCCUGGAAUAAACAUGGGCAUUAAAUAAUCCCUGUUAAUUACCUGAAAUCACCUCGUGAAACUGGAACAAAUGCAUGUGGGAUCAUGCUCAGGCCUGUUGAAAAACAAACAGCAAUUAAAGCAGCCCUUUGGAGCUGAGCUGUGAGGGCAAUAUUUGCUUUUUGCAGUGCUUGAUGGCUGUCACAGGGGAGCUCAGCUGGGAUCUCUGGUUGUUGGACAGCUCUUGCAGCAGUUCUGCCUCUCCAGAUUUUUGGGCAGAUCCCUAAAAGAUGGGAAUGUGAAAUGAAGCCUCUGAGGCAGAUCAUGGAUGUGGAGAUACAACCCCUCACCCCACAAAACUUUCAUUUGUUUGAGGCUAACAUUUACUUACCUGAAAGCAAUAAAAAACCCCUUGUAAAGGUGACUUUUUGACACUGAUUCUGUAAUUAAAUAAAAAAAGAUUCAGUGCAUGUUCCUGGGAAAUGAAGGUUGCAACAGCACAAUAACUUGGGAGGUGUUUGGUUGCACAAUGUUUGGAGAAGACAUUAAAUAUUUGCACAACCAGGGGGUGAUGGCUCAGGGAUGUUUGAAAUAAGGUGAAGACAGGAGAGGGUUUCUCACCAAAAUUCCUCAGCAUUGUCUCACAGCCACCCCUCUCUGCCAGGUGGCAGUGGCCCCUCAGAGAGGAAGCAAUUUUCCAUGUCCUGCUCACUGGAUCCUCCUCUCUGCCCCCUCUCUGUGCCCUUUUCCAGGAGCUGGGGAUGCUGAGCCCUGAGGUUCCUCCCAUCCAAACCCCAAAGGGACAGAAAGCCCUGUGGGGACAGCCCUGCACUGCCACUGCUCUGGGCACACCUCAAAGGUGAUCCCAACAUCAUUUAUUUCAUCAUUUUUAACAUCUCUUAGACAAAACACAAAAAUACUCCUCACUGAGACCUUCCUUGAGUAGCUGGGGAUGAUAUUUAGAGUGAAAAACAGGUAGAAUUUAUUGUUAAUUCUAUGAAGAAUUUGUGUUGCAGGGAGAUUAAUUAACUUAAAUGUAGUGUUUUAUCUUCACACAUGAAUUUUGCACUUCGGUUUUAUGUACUUAGUUGCAUAGUUAUAGCCUGUAUUUAUGUCAGUAGAUGCAUAAAUUACUCAUGGAAUUAUUAAUUGAACUUGAUGAUGUUGGAGAUCUUUUCCAGCCUUAAUGAUUCUGGGAUUCUAUUUCCCCAUUUUCAGCUCACCCUGUGAAAUGUGUGAUGACAAUUUGCAGGUUUUUCAUUUUACUCUUCUGCAGGGUUUCCAGUAACCAGGUGAUUGAAGCAGACUGAGCACCCUGACAGCAGGAGAGGCAGGUUAAUCUUCAGUAAUGCCUACAGUUAUUUCAAAGAACAAAUCAAAAUCCACCUGGUGAUCUGUUUGUAUUUCAAAGUUCAUGUCUGGUUCCUGUAGGCACCUCUUGGACUUAAAAAAUAACUAGGAUUGCAUUUUAAUCUGAGUAUUAGAUGGACAUGGAAUUAAAACAUCAGGGCAGCCAUGUCCAGUUCUUUAAGUAAUUAAUGUAUAUAAAAUCUUAUUUCUAUGCUGAUAAAUGGUUUGGUUCUCUCAUCUCUCAUUUGUCAGUGAAUUAUCUCACAAUAAUCUCAUUUUCUAGGUUGUGAUCAGCAAGAACUGCUCCUUUGUUCUUUUUUGCAUCACUGUGUGUUCCCAGAACUUGUGAUAAAAUGAUCUUUUUUCCCCUGGAUUAGU